This 3163-nucleotide unclassified non-coding RNA is filed under the name Hevea brasiliensis (rubber tree). Lineage: Eukaryota; Viridiplantae; Streptophyta; Magnoliopsida; Malpighiales; Euphorbiaceae. The record is from RNAcentral.
AACAACAACAACAACAACAACUAAAAAAGAACGAUGAUUAUGGACUUCCCGCAGUGGUUUCCGCCGCAGAGAAGGGCCUGCGGUUCAGCUUCAUGGAGGAGCUCAUGGAACGCGCGAGAAAUUGCGACGCCAUCGGCGUAUCGGACGUCAUUUACGAUAUGGUUGCUGCAGGGUUGAGCCCUGGCCCUCGCUCCUUUCACGGUCUCAUUGUUGCUUACUCUCUCAGUGGCAACCUUGAAGGCGCGAUGCAAUCGUUGAGAAGAGAGUUGAGUGCAGGAAUUCGUCCUCUCCACGAAACUUUUAUCGCUCUGAUUCGUUUGUUUGGCACCAAAGGCCAUGCUAAUAGAGGCUUAGAGAUCCUUGCUGCAAUGGAGAAGUUAAACUACGAUAUUCGCUUGGCAUGGAUUGUUCUUGUCGAGGAGCUUGUUAAGAAUAAGUAUUUGGAAGAUGCCAAUAAAGUGUUUUUGAAGGGCGCCAAAGGUGGACUAAGGGCUACAGAUGAGCUCUAUGAUUGUUUGAUUGAGGAAGACUGUAAAGUUGGGGAUCAUUCUAAUGCCUUAGAAAUUGCCUAUGAAAUGGAGGCAGCUGGGCGGAUGGCAACCACUUUUCAUUUCAAUUGUCUUCUUAGUGUCCAGGCAACUUGCGGAAUACCUGAAAUAGCUUUUGCUACAUUUGAGAACAUGGAAUAUGGAGAAGAAUAUAUGAAACCUGAUACUGAGACAUAUAAUUGGGUGAUCCAAGCAUAUACUAGAGCUGAAUCCUAUGACAGGGUACAAGAUGUUGCCGAGUUGCUUGGCAUGAUGGUUGAAGACCAUAAACGUUUGCAACCUAAUGUGAGAACUUAUGCGCUGUUAGUGGAGUGUUUUACCAAGUACUGCGUAGUACGUGAAGCUAUUCGGCAUUUUCGUGCACUCAGAAAUUUUGAAGGAGGAACAAAAGUUUUACAUAAUGAUGGGAACUUUGGGGAUCCACUUUCUUUACAUCUUCGGGCUUUAUGCCGAGAAGGUAGGGUUGUCGAGUUGCUGGAAGCUUUAGAAGCUAUGGCCAGAGAUAAUCAACCUAUUCCACCAAGAGCCAUGAUAUUGAGCAGAAAAUAUCGAACAUUAGUUAGCUCGUGGAUCGAGCCAUUGCAAGAAGAAGCUGAACUUGGAUACGAGAUUGAUUAUGUUGCUAGGUAUAUUGCAGAAGGUGGGCUUACUGGUGAGCGCAAGCGAUGGGUGCCUCGAAGGGGGAAAGCUCCUCUAGAUCCUGAUGCUGUUGGCUUUAUAUAUUCAAAUCCAAUGGAAACUUCAUUUAAACAAAGAUGUCUGGAGGAUUGGAAGACGCACCAUAGAAAGGUUUUGAAAACCUUACAGAAUGAAGGUCUUGCAGCUUUGGGAGAUGUAUCUGAAUCUGAUUAUCUAAGAGUAGAAGAGAGAUUGAAGAAAAUAAUUAAGGGUCCUGACCAGAAUGUCCUAAAGCCCAAAGCUGCUAGUAAGAUGAUAGUAUCUGAAUUAAAGGAAGAGCUAGAAGCACAAGGUUUACCAACUGAUGGAACUAGAAAUGUUCUUUACCAGCGAGUACAAAAAGCGAGGAGAAUAAACCGCUCUCGAGGUCGACCCCUCUGGGUUCCUCCUGUGGAGGAGGAAGAAGAGGAGGUUGAUGAAGAGCUGGAUGAAUUAAUUUCACGGAUAAAGCUGCAAGAAGGAAAUACAGAGUUCUGGAAGCGCCGGUUUCUUGGAGAAGGCUUGAAUGGUAAUCAUGUUAAGCCUGUCAACAUGGGUAAAUCAGAACUUCCAGAUGUGUUGGAUGAUGUUGAUGCUGUGGAAGAUGCUGAAAAAGUUGUUGAAGAAGAGGAAGCUGAUGAUGAAGAGGAGGUAGAAGUAGAAGUAGAACAAACUGAGAGCCAAGACGGAGACAGGAUUGUUAAAGACAAGGAAGUUGAAGCUAAGAAGCCACUUCAAAUGAUUGGAGUCCAAUUAUUGAAAGACUCUGAUCAAACAAUUACAAGAUCGAGAAAAUCAAAAAGAAGAUCAGCUCGAGCAUCAGUGGAGGAUGAUGAUGACGAUGACUGGUUUCCUGAGGAUAUAUUUGAGGCAUUCAGGGAGCUAAGAAAAAGAAAAAUUUUUGAUGUAGAAGAUAUGUAUACCAUAGCUGAUGCUUGGGGUUGGACAUGGGAGAGAGAAAUAAAGAACAGGCCUCCACGGAAAUGGUCACAAGAAUGGGAAGUUGAGUUGGCAAUUGAAGUAAUGCUGAAGGUAAUAGAAUUGGGGGGAACACCCACCAUUGGGGACUGUGCCAUGAUAUUGAGCUCAGCUAUACGGGCUCCUAUGCCUUCAGCUUUCUUGAAAAUCCUGCAGACAACACAUAGUCUAGGUUAUGCAUUUGGGAGGUAGGAUCCUGCACACUGAUUCAAUAUAAAAAUGAAAACAGAUUGCACAUUGGCUUUUUGUGAUUUAAAAAUUAUGUCAAAUGAAGUGUUCUUUCAUUUAUCCUUAGUACCAAGGUCCUUUACACCUGGUCUACGAGUUCAGUUUUGGUCUAGAGGGUCACAUUAUAUCAUUUAUUUUACCCAGAGAAAGUAUAAAAAAGGACAAUAUUGGCCCUUUUUUUUACAUCCCUAUCAAAAAUACUUUGGCAAUGAACUGAAUGUCUUUCCAAAAAUUAUUUUAUUUAACAUGUAAUCGGGUUAUCUUCUGUCGCAGUCCUCUUUAUGAUGAAGUAAUCACCUUGUGUAUCGACCUUGGGGAACUAGAUGCAGCAAUUGCCAUUGUUGCAGACUUGGAGACUGCUGGAAUCACUGUCCCUGACCAAACACUUGACAAGGUGAUUUCUGCUAGACAGGCGACUGACAAUGCCAAUGCCGACGCCGAUGCCGAUGCCGAAGCCGAUGCCGACACCAAUGCCAAUGCCAAUGCCAAUGCCGAUGAUGAGACAUCAUCAUAUUCAUAGCUAAAGUUGCUCAUAUGCUUCCAUCUUCCUAUUGACUAUUGUAGAUUUUGGCGGCCAACAGUUUUCUUGACCGAAAGAUUCUGUGUCGGAGGUGAAUUUAGGUAGUUGAAGAGCGAGUGUAAAAUUAUCUCAUAAGUCCAUCAAAAUAAAAUAUUCAAAAAAAUGUAUUAAAAGAAGUAAAAUAACUUAAACUAUGAUAACUGCCUAGUUAUUAUUAUUAUUAUCAUUAUUA